AUGACCCAAAAAUAUACUAUACCGAUCAAGGCUCGUUCGACUUCCUGCAGAAUUUCACUUUACGCUGAUGACGCGGGCAUCUUUGCCAACCCUGUGAAGGAAGAAUUGGACGCCAUUGUGGGAAUACUUGCCUGUUUUGGGGAGGCAUCGGGUCUCAUUACCAACGUGACCAAGACGGAGGUGUUCGCUAUUCGCUGCCAGCAGAUUGACCUCGCCCGCAUUUUAUCGGAAUUCCCUGUGAAGAUCGCUGCAUUCCCAACUAAGUACUUGGGCCUUCCCCUUCCUACCUCAAGGCUCAAGCGGGUUCAUCUGCAACCUCUCAUAGACAAAGCAAUGGGCAAGCUUCCGGGAUGGAAGGGAAAGAACCUUGCGAGGCCGGGAAGG
This 384-nucleotide ribosomal RNA is filed under the name Triticum aestivum (bread wheat). Its description in RNAcentral is "partial small subunit ribosomal RNA". The record is from RNAcentral. Lineage: Eukaryota; Viridiplantae; Streptophyta; Magnoliopsida; Poales; Poaceae.